CAGUUACUUAAAACAUCGCUGUAUAAUACAUCUGCGAAUGCAGCGCUUUAUUUUUUAAACCGGAAAUAGUUGCUGCGUAUCGGUCGUGCAUUUACCGUAAGCUGACGGUAAGAGCGCACUGAAAAUGUAGGAGCGGCUGGAUUGACCGCAGCUUUUUACUGUGUAAAAUUUCAAGUGGUGGCUUUCAUGCCAGUGAACGAUUAUCAUGAAGCUUUUUUAUUGUGGUUUUAACCAGCACAAGCAGCAACUGUGUGAGCCAUAGUGGUGUAAAGAAUCCGUUUUAUUUCCCCGUGACUGUCAGUCUGUUUCUAGCUACUGAGCUGAUGUGCGUUUCUCAGAGAGCAGGAGGUCCGACUCAGGAUCAGAGAGCAGACAGGACGAUGCCGAGCCGUUUUUAGUUGUUCCAGGUCCAUUCAUCUUUCAUGAUGCCAAGGCUCUGUAGUAAAUUGGCAGUGUAAGGGGUGCUGGGUAGAGGUGUCCAGUAGCUCUGCACUGCUGAAGCAUUAGAAGCUGAAACAUCCUCAGUUUGGCCGCACUGCUUGCUUUCCGUGGACCACUUUCUCUUGUCCUUGCACAUUUAAGACAUGGAAUGGUUUACUUCUCCACCAUAGUAGGGGACACACAAAUAUAAACGCAGAGUUCAGAGGUUGACCGCCCCCCCGCUCCAGUCCCGUUUGUUCUCUCAGCUGGACAUUCUGUGUGACAAACUCCUAACCCUGUAUCAGAAGAGGGAGGACGAAGUGGAACGAAGCUGAAGCAGCUGAUGGAACGCAGGACAGACGUCAGAGGACAGAAAAGGGUCUUUUUGUUCAACUUGUAGAAAAGGGAUGGUGGAAAUAACGGGUUAAAGAGGCCCCUGUUAACACAUUUCUGUAACUCAUGUAGAAUCCAAGUGUCACAUCUGUCAUGGUGCUUUUGGUGUUAAAGCAGAUGUUGUGGAACAUCAAGCUUUUAGCAAUGUUACAACAUUGUUCCCUCAUCCAAACAUGUCUGGAGUGCUGUUUCACUUCAUUCACUCCAUUCUGAGUACUCCUGUUUCUUCUUCUACUUGCAUUCAGGGAUCCAGGGAAGAAGAUGUGGAUGCUGGGAGGGAGUCCAUUCUGAAGGCAUUAAGCGUCUGCUUGAACGAAGACCCUGACGGCUGAUUAAAGAGCAUGUGGGAAGCAGUGAAGCCGUCUUUGAGGACUACGCAGAAGACACCACUGUAGGAAUCUUCACUACAAAACAAGACGAGGCCCAGUCCAAAGCAGAGGACAUCGGAAUCAUCCUGGAAGGACAAAUAGUCAUCAAGAAGUGGACAAUGUUCCGUUGGCCGUCGCCCUCCUCUGUGGACUCCUGUAGGCCCUAAAUGUGGACGAUCCUCCUGAACAGAGGAACUUUUUUGAAGUGGUCCAAAAGGUGAUCAUGGAGCUUGAUGGGGGCAGCCUUUCCAGAACAGCUCAGGUCCUGAAAAACAGACUCCUUGAAUGGUGCUUUGUGAUGUUUGAUGUUUGCAUUUUGCUCUGCUCGUUGGGCCUCAUGUUGUCUUGCAGUGUUCUAAAAAGUAGCUGUUGAUAGGUUCAUGUAAUUAUUGUUCAAGUGUUUUACUGAUCUGUGUUUAAAUAAAAAAGGUCAGACUGUC
Acanthochromis polyacanthus (spiny chromis) is the source of this 1621-nucleotide long non-coding RNA. RefSeq lists it as uncharacterized. The record is from RefSeq and is a predicted model, not a curated record. The transcript has 5 exons. Lineage: Eukaryota; Metazoa; Chordata; Actinopteri; Pomacentridae.